RNAcentral lists this ribosomal RNA (465 nucleotides) under Vreelandella stevensii. Its description in RNAcentral is "partial 16S ribosomal RNA". It matches the Rfam family "Bacterial small subunit ribosomal RNA", at positions 338 to 795 of the family's 1533-position model. The record is from RNAcentral. Lineage: Bacteria; Pseudomonadati; Pseudomonadota; Gammaproteobacteria; Oceanospirillales; Halomonadaceae.
CCUACGGGGUGCUGCAGUGGGGAAUAUUGGACAAUGGGCGAAAGCCUGAUCCAGCCAUGCCGCGUGUGUGAAGAAGGCCUUCGGGUUGUAAAGCACUUUCAGUGGGGAAGAAAGCCUUGGGGCUAAUACCCUCGAGGAAGGACAUCACCCACAGAAGAAGCACCGGCUAACUCCGUGCCAGCAGCCGCGGUAAUACGGAGGGUGCGAGCGUUAAUCGGAAUUACUGGGCGUAAAGCGCGCGUAGGCGGUCUGAUAAGCCGGUUGUGAAAGCCCCGGGCUCAACCUGGGAACGGCAUCCGGAACUGUCAGGCUAGAGUGCAGGAGAGGAAGGUAGAAUUCCCGGUGUAGCGGUGAAAUGCGUAGAGAUCGGGAGGAACACCAGUGGCGAAGGCGGCCUUCUGGACUGACACUGACGCUGAGGUGCGAAAGCGUGGGUAGCAAACAGGAUUAGAUACCCGAGUAGUC